GCUCAGUGGGUUAACGAUCUGGCGUUGCUGUGAGCUGUGGUGUAGGUCGCAGAUGCGGCUCGGAUCCCGCACUGCUGUGGCUCUGGCGUAGGCUGGCAGCUACAGCUCCGAUUAGACCCCUAUUCUGGGAACCUCCAUGUGCCGCAGGAGUGGCCCAAGAAAUGGCAGAAAGACAAAAAAAAAAGAUCAACUUGAAUGAGAAAUUUGCAUAGUCGCAUGACCAAUGGUCACACACAUAGGGACAUUGUUUUUCUAGCCCCCAAAUUAUGGAUGGUGCCCCAAUAUAGGUAUACAUGGUAUAAGCCUAUGGCAGAAAGAAAGUCAUUUCUCAUCCAACUGUUUAAGCCUAGUUUCUCUUGAAUAGUCACACCAAGAUGUUGUGAAUAUAUUGUUAUGGCUAAAGCGAUAUAAUAGAAGCCCCCAAACCAUGGUGAUUUAGCUUUUCAAUGGGUUAUGAUUUUGCCUUUUAAUUGCCAAUUUGGACUUUUACCUUUUUUUUUUUUUUUUUUUUUUUUAAAUAACUCUCCACAGGUGUUUGUAAGCUGUUUGCACAGCCUGGGAAGACAUGAGGCUGGGCACCGGCUGGGGAAGGCUUGGGACAGCAGCCCUCCUGGCCUGAAGUUAAACUUUGGCUAUGAGGAGAUGAGUCUGGCAGGUGCACAGGGAGUUCCCCCUCCAGACGGGGUGGCGAGGACCCAAGAGAAGAGAGGAGAGAAAGAACCCGUGCCCAGAAACCUGGCCUUGACUGUGACCACAGCAUACACCAAAGGCACACAGGCACGCUGCCGUCAGGGAAAUGAAGACAGUGCAGUGUGGGGAGGUGUGCAUGAUUGAAGGCAGCUUCCCACAGCUGUGAGCCAGGUAACAAGCUCAGUGAAGGCGUUGUCACGCUUUCAAACGCCUGAAAAGAGGAGCAAAGAGACAACAGAGGAAGAUGUUUUCGGUGUGAUCAAAGGGCAGUCGGAUCACCCCAGGGAGGGAAGUGGUUGGCGCGCCGUGCAUGUGUGGAGGGAAGUGACAGGUGCAAAUACAGGAGGGCACCCCACAUUUCCUUACCAUCCAGAAACCCAUUAAGCAGGAGGCAGCUGGCCAGGGAGUCAGAGGGCUGAAUAGCCCACUGACCUCCAAAAAUUAGCCUCCUUCCAUUUCCAACUCUUAAGGUUCUAUUUGCUUGGCUUAGUUUAUAUCUAGGGAAUCUCCAAGACUCUUUCAAGAAGAGACUUUUGCAUCCCUGUUAUCUAGAAAAAGGGUGAUGUUUUCUGUCCACUCUCCCUGAAAUGCCAUCUCAGACAUUAAGUUAACUGUAGCAAAGGAACUUUCUAAAUCCUUAUCAAAGGACUAUGGUCACCUGAAUGAAACUGUCUGGGCAUUCAGGAGCAAAUGACACAUGUAGUCUUAGGAAAUUGUUUUGCAAGGAAUACAGGUUUAUAUUAAAGCUCUGAAGCAAGUACAAUAAACGCUCCACAUCAUCUUAGAGAAUGCUUGCA
This 1487-nucleotide long non-coding RNA is filed under the name Sus scrofa (pig). RNAcentral's name for it is "lncRNA (ENSSSCG00070002064.1)". The record is from RNAcentral. Lineage: Eukaryota; Metazoa; Chordata; Mammalia; Artiodactyla; Suidae.